CCUCGAUAAAGGCAAACCGGUCGUAAGGCCGGGGCGCAAAGCUACGGGCCGGGUGGUCGCAUCCGGUCGCCGGGCUGCCGAA
Molecule: non-coding RNA, 82 nt
Filed under: Thermogutta terrifontis
Lineage: Bacteria; Pseudomonadati; Planctomycetota; Planctomycetia; Pirellulales; Thermoguttaceae
Description: Cyclic di-GMP-I riboswitch
Rfam family: c-di-GMP-I-GGC riboswitch aptamer
Source: RNAcentral